ACGUGAGAGAAUGGUUACCGCGGCUGCUGGCACGGAGUUAGCCGGUGCUUCUUCUGCGAGUAACGUCACAGAUGUAAGGUAUUAACUUACACCCUUUCCUCCUCGCUGAAAGUGCUUUACAACCCGAAGGCCUUCUUCACACACGCGGCAUGGCUGCAUCAGGGUUUCCCCCAUUGUGCAAUAUUCCCCACUGCUGCCUCCCGUAGGAGUCUGGGCCGUGUCUCAGUCCCAGUGUGGCUGAUCAUCCUCUCAGACCAGCUAGGGAUCGUCGCCUAGGUGAGCCUUUACCUCACCUACUAGCUAAUCCCACCUGGGCUUAUCCAUCAGCGCAAGGCCCGAAGGUCCCCCGUGCUUUCCCCCGUAGGGCGUAUGCGGUAUUAGCAGUCGGUUUCCAACUGUUAUCCCCCACAAAUGGGCAAAUUCCCAGGCAUUACUCACCCGUCCGCCGCUCGUCAUCUUCAAAAAGCAAGCUUUUGAAAUGUUACCGCUCGACUUGCAUGUGUUAGGCCUGCCGCCAGCGUUCAA
This 525-nucleotide ribosomal RNA is filed under the name uncultured bacterium. Its description in RNAcentral is "partial 16S ribosomal RNA". The record is from RNAcentral.